CAGAUUUUCUUAUGAUCGGGCAAUAGCGACAGAAAUCACAAAGAAAGAGACAAAGGAUAGGGAGUCGGAAGGGAAGCAAGAGAGAAAUAGGAGUAACAGCUCUCUCUUGGCUCUCCGAAAGCUCUGUUGAGGUUGCCGUUGCCGCUGAUCAGCGCUCAUGUUUCCGAUUUGCUUAUGAUCGGGCAACGGUGAUGAGAGAGAGGAAGGGGAGUCCGAAGGAAAGUAAGAGAAAUAGUGUUACCGUUGCAUCUUUCGUCGAAAAUUCCUCAAAGUCCCAACAAAGUCCUACUGAUUUGGUGGGACUUUGUGAGGGACGGGGUGGGAGUAUUACCAUGCCACGUGGGUCAACAGUAAAGUUACUUGUCGGCUCAUUUUUCCACCCCUUGCAACCAAACAACUUAAAAUACCAUAAUUUUAGGAAAAGUUAAGAACUUUCCCACCCCAACAAUCCCACCCCAUCAAAACCCUUCUAAACAAACGGCCCUAAAUUUCUUAUAUAUGAUUUUUCGGAGAAGGAUCACCAAAACGCUAGAUUGGAGAUCUCUUCCCACGCCCUCUCACAUAAUGAAUCGUGGAAGGAGGAAGAACCCUUCCCACAGAAAAGCUCCGGAUAGAUUAAAAGCAGAGCGAACCCGUUCCCUCCAUUAGGGGCAGAAAACGCAGGCAAUUGGUGAUGCGAGAGUGGCCAAUACAGAAUACUUGGUUCAACUGACCGAGUCUAAGAAGGAAGAAGAACCCUUUUCCAAUUCCUUCUCUCACUUGAAAUUCAGAGACUGGUAAGAGAUCAAAUUGAGCUGGAGAUAUUCAACAAUGCUGCCAAGAUGGUGUAGAACAAUUACGCAGCUCUCCAAGGUUGGACUACAAAAGAACAUUGUAUCCCCAAAGGAACUCUACGCUGGGUAUAGAAACUAUUCCAAAGUUGCUGCAGCAGCUACUGCAACUGUGGCAGAUUCUCCAGUGAAUGGGGUUUCAACCAAACCGGAGGUCAACUUACUUUUGACUAGGUGGAUGAAAGAUCUGGAGAAGAUAUUCUAUGGCAAUGUUGUUGCAUAUAAUGCUGCAAUGCUUCCUGAAGCUCGACAGGAUGAGCAAGAGAAUGCGAUUUGGAGGAAUGUGUUCUCCGAUGAUGGUUCACCAAUGUCAAAUGAUGCUGCAUCAUCCACAGUCCAGAACAAAGGGGUGAACAUAAGACCUUACGAAAGUAAAAAUGGUGAAGAUGGUUCAUCAUCCUUUCCUAAGGGAAUGUCCUCGGUUAAUUUUCUAUCUGUGGAAGAUGAAUUAAAAGAUUCUGUUAAAGCAGCACAUUAUCAUUCAAAAGUGAACAUUGAGAAUGAGAUAUUAUGUUCCUAUGUCAUCCAGGAACUGACUCAACCAAGAAAAGAACAUGUUCCAUCAAUUUGUUCAAAAAGUUCUGGACUCAAACCUUCUCACAUGAAACAAAUGAGUGAUGGCAAUAACAUUACAUAUGCAGAACUGUUUACCUCAGAGGCAACAGUUGUAGAUUCUGGAAUGGAUAUCAAGGAUCUUGGACAGGAUGGCUCAUCUUGUGUACAAUUCAAUGCUGUGGAACAUUCUUCAAGUUUGCCUUUUUCUCUAGCCAGCGUUCUUGUUGGGCUUGCUAAACAAUUCGGUGGAGCAUCUAACACCAGACCAAAGAUUGAUAUUCAGCUGCUGCUUAAUGCUAUGGAUAACUUGUCAGAAUUCCUUCUUUCUAGUUGUUCCAAUGAUGUAGAGGCAUUGAAGGAACAGGAUCGUGAGGUUAUUUGUCGUGUAGUCAACAAUCUUGAUGCAUGUCUCUCAAAGAAGGUUGGAUUAAUGAGAUCAAUGCCCCAAAUACAAUUUCCCGAGUCGAGCACUUGCUGCCUUAGAAAGCCAACUGAUCCUGAAAUGGUAUGGUGCUUAGUUCUUACUUAGUUGUGCUGCAGAAAUUUAUAAUAAAUCUUCUUUUUGUUUUUUCCAGAAAGAAAAAGGGAUUGUAGAAAGUUUCUUGAUACAUUCGGAAUGGUAAAGCUGUUUGUUGAUAGUUGAUAUCUUGACAAAGCAUGGUAUUUACUAGACCAGCAACUCAAAAGCCAAAUAAAUUUUUAACCUAUGGUUCAAGUUCAUGCAUGCCAACAGAGACAACAGAUAUCUUUCCUUGGAAAAUUUCUUUUUCAGCAAACGAAUAGUGAAAAUCAUGCCGAGUUAGAGCAGUUAAAGUAUUCUCCAAAUAGUCAUUUGAUACCGCUGGCCAGGAUAUUAUUGACUUUAAUGGUAAAGUUGGAGGGGAGAGGAGCUCACGAUCGCACGCCGGAGGGGAGAGCUGCUGACGGUAGUUGCAGGUUUCAGAGGAAGGCGACGGCUGUUUCUUCUCUUCCUUCUCGGUUUGGGGAUUUAGAGUGAGAGUUUAGAAGAAGGGAAAGGGGGGGGUAAUAUUGUCCAUUCACACCAUAUGGGAGUGUUUUAGGUAUUUUGGAAAAAAACUAACAGAAAUUCUACCACAUAACUGUGUCGGCUAACAGCGGGGACUGAUUUGGAAUUGUUUGAAUUUUUAGGGGGUGUUUUUGGUGUUUCGAAAAGUCCAGGGGGUGGCAUUGAAUAAGGACCAAAGUUUAGGGGGUGGCAAUGCAAUUUUCUCUAAAUAUUUUAUGGCUGGCUUAGCUCUUUUCCUUGGAUACCUUGAAUGUUGAAUAUGGCACCUUUGCACAUAUUAUUCAUGGACUUCUGUGAAGUGGAGUUACACUCAAGUCCAUAAUCAUAUAGGGGCUUCAUGCAUCCACAAGCCAAGCCUGAUUCCUAACUGAGCAUUGAAGAAUUAAAGCAACUCUACGUUUGCUUACAUUUUCAGGCAACGUCAAGAUAUGUUCUCCAGGAAUCUUAUUGCUUGUCAUUGACAGGGUCACUAGGUAAUUAAGGAGUUGGCUCAAGGCAAUGCACAAGGCGAAGCUUGAGCUUGUACUUUAUUUGGUGAGUUUAUGCAUCUGUCAUGAUGCUGAGCCAGUAUCUCACCAAAUAAAAGAUGGAGUCCAGUUAUUGUUCUUUAAAGACCAUAGGAAUAUUGGCAGCAUGGGUUAACAUGCUGGAUAUUCCAUGGUCUCCUUACCUUCUGAAAGUGCGACAGAUUGCACCAUUAUGAUCAUGCAGGUUUAAAUCCGGUGGAUGAAUUGAAUGGUAGUUUUUUCCCCUGCAUUUGUGCUCUUAUGCCUGUAUGUUUUGAGCUGCUCUUCUGGUCUACCCCAUUGAUACCUUGCAUUCUCCUCAUUCAAAUACCUUCUUCUGAGUAGACAGAGGUUGUUGGAAGUUUUCAUGCCAUGAUUUUCAGUUAUCUUGAUGUCUAAUUUAAGUUUUUUUUGCAUCAACAGAUAAAGAGGCUAUAUUUUCUGGAAACUUCAUUUUCUCCUCCUUGCAGAACCCAUUACCCGAUGCCAUGAGGUAAUUAGUGAAUGCAAGAGAGUGGGUCAAGAUUCCAGUAAUACUGUAACCAAAAUAUUGGUUAUUGCUUUGAACUAGUCUAGAAGCAGGUUUCCUAAUCACAUAUUAAAUCAAUUGUAAAGUUUUUACCACUUGAUUUUUUUCUUUUGGUUGGGGAAAAAGGGGGUGGGGGUGGGAGUGGGAGUUGAUAUAAGAAAUCAGUGACAUUCUUAUGGAGUCGUUUUAGUUGGAAAUAUAGAAAUUUUCCAUUAUUGUGUUGAUCAAUGUUUUGAUGGAAACUAUACAUGAAAGGCUUCUCAGGAGGUUUCUGGUUCUCUUUUA
Molecule: RNA transcript, 3732 nt
Organism: Macadamia integrifolia
Lineage: Eukaryota; Viridiplantae; Streptophyta; Magnoliopsida; Proteales; Proteaceae
Exons: 6
Source: RefSeq, a predicted model, not a curated record